RNAcentral lists this long non-coding RNA (869 nucleotides) under Nicotiana benthamiana. Its description in RNAcentral is "long non-coding RNA (NBEN_LNC040040)". Lineage: Eukaryota; Viridiplantae; Streptophyta; Magnoliopsida; Solanales; Solanaceae. The record is from RNAcentral.
CCUAUUCUUCUAUACGAUUGUCAAGCGAGAUGCGACAUUUGGAUCACCACCGAUUAGAUGCGCUUUUUGAUGAUAGACUCCCCCAUUUGAAAGCUUGGCACUAAAAAAAUCUAAUUGUCAUCUUGUUGGUCUCACUAACUCUUGUAGAGUAAGCCGAAGCAGGGUCUUUCCUAUCUUCUUUUGGCUCCAUUGAAAGAACAACUACAUAACGCAUAAGAAAAGACAAUAUAAACUAAGAAUAUGUGAAAGAAGAACUGAAGGUAAACAAAUUAUGUUGCUUGAUUCUGGGAAGGAACCGAAGUUAAAAAAAAUUCGCCAACAUUUCGCUACUAUUUGGAUGUUGAAACAGUGAAAGAGAAGAAGAAGAAGAAGAAGAAGAAGAAGAAGAAGAAGAAGAAGAAGAAGAAGAAGAAGAAGAAGAAGAAGAAGAAGAAGAAGUCAAAGCUCCAUUGAAAGAACAACUACAUAACGCAUAAGAAAAGACAAUAUAAACUAAGAAUAUGUGAAAGAAGAACUGAAGGUAAACAAAUUAUGUUGCUUGAUUCUGGGAAGGAACCGAAGUUAAAAAAAAUUCGCCAACAUUUCGCUACUAUUUGGAUGUUGAAACAGUGAAAGAGAAGAAGAAGAAGAAGAAGAAGAAGAAGAAGAAGAAGAAGAAGAAGAAGAAGAAGAAGAAGAAGAAGAAGAGGAGACAAUCAUCACAUACCUGUUGCUGGAAUCUCUGGUGAAGAAUCCUAGUCGUAGAGAUUCUCAGAUACUCUGUUGGUUGCAUUUAAUAAAAGAACACUGAAAAAUCCCUUUUUUAAAUUAAAUAGGCUGGAAGCUGUUUAAAACAAAGAAGCGUUCGCUUUAGUCGCUUCGUUUCGCUU